AUGUUGAAAGGCCUUUCAGAGGUGGCGUCAAGAGGUGCCAAGACUGACAAAGGAUUCAAAGAGGUUGAAAAAUUGAAAGUUGCAAAGCGUAUAUCUUCUUUCGUUGGUUAUGACGUGUCUAUUACGCAAGUGCACAAUCAUAUUCGCAAGUGGAGGAAUAGGUGGACAAGGCUUGUUUAUUUGAAGGCUUUAAGUGGGGCACUUUGGGAUGAUGACAAGAAGAUGGUAGUGCUAGAAGAACAACACUAUUUGGGCCACACUCAGGAUCAUCCAGCAGAUGCUGAAUUGCUCAAUUCUCCACUAGAGAACUACGACUAUAUGGAACUUUGCUUUGCUAAUAAGCAUGCCACUGGGAAAUAUGCAAUGGGCCCCGGUGUGCCCCUGGGAACGCCUAUUGUUGUGGAAGACAAGGAUAAACCGAAUGUCAUGGAGGGGGAAGGAACAACGGAUGAGGUAUUGCAACAUCUUCCUGGAUCUAACUUUGUACUUCCUACUGCUAGUGCCACUCAGGACCCUUCUCCUACUUCAAAUAAGAAGAGAAAGAGGGCAUCUGGCUUGACAGAGGAGGACUCAAUCCAGUGUAGCAACAUGACUGAUGCUAUGCGUGAGAUUGCAAGUGCUAUCAACAACACUUGCCAUGCUGAAACACACCCCGACUUGUACAAGGCUGUCAUGGACCUUCUUGUGUUUAAUCAAGAUGAGCGCUUGGCUGUUUUAGAUUAUCUCACAGAACAUAAGGCAAAAGGCCUAAACUUUGUGAAGAUGGAUGAUGAAGUCCGAAAAGCAUCGUUCAAGCGAAUCUUGAAAGCCAAUCCCGGUCUUGUUUGA
RNAcentral lists this ribosomal RNA (828 nucleotides) under Triticum aestivum (bread wheat). Its description in RNAcentral is "partial small subunit ribosomal RNA". The record is from RNAcentral. Lineage: Eukaryota; Viridiplantae; Streptophyta; Magnoliopsida; Poales; Poaceae.